RNAcentral lists this ribosomal RNA (458 nucleotides) under uncultured bacterium. RNAcentral describes it as "partial 16S ribosomal RNA". It matches the Rfam family "Bacterial small subunit ribosomal RNA", at positions 338 to 795 of the family's 1533-position model. The record is from RNAcentral.
CCUACGGGUGGCAGCAGUGGGGAAUAUUGCACAAUGGGGGAAACCCUGAUGCAGCGACGCCGCGUGAGUGAAGAAGUAUUUCGGUAUGUAAAGCUCUAUCAGCAGGGAAGAAAUAGCGACCUUUGGGUCGCCAGACGGUACCUGAUUAAGAAGCCCCGGCUAACUACGUGCCAGCAGCCGCGGUAAUACGUAGGGGGCAAGCGGUGUCCGGAUUUACUGGGUGUAAAGGGGGCGUAGACGGCAUAGCAAGUCUGAAGUGAAAUGCCGGGGCUUAACCCAGGAACUGCUUUGGAAACUGUGCAGCUAGAGUGCAUGAGAGGUAAGUGGAAUUCCGAGUGGAGCGGUGAAAUGCGUAGAUAUUUGGAGGAACACCAGUGGCGAAGGCGGCUUUCUGGACUGUAAAUGACGUUGAGGCUCGAAAGCGUGGGGAGCAAACAGGAUUAGAUGCCCGUGUAGUC